RNAcentral lists this ribosomal RNA (497 nucleotides) under uncultured bacterium. RNAcentral's name for it is "partial 16S ribosomal RNA". It matches the Rfam family "Bacterial small subunit ribosomal RNA", at positions 28 to 507 of the family's 1533-position model. The record is from RNAcentral.
GAUGAACGCUGGCGGCGUGCCUAAUACAUGCAAGUCGAGCGAACAGACGAGGAGCUUGCUCCUCUGACGUUAGCGGCGGACGGGUGAGUAACACGUGGAUAACCUACCUAUAAGACUGGGAUAACUUCGGGAAACCGGAGCUAAUACCGGAUAAUAUAUUGAACCGCAUGGUUCAAUAGUGAAAGACGGUUUUGCUGUCACUUAUAGAUGGAUCCGCGCCGCAUUAGCUAGUUGGUAAGGUAACGGCUUACCAAGGCAACGAUGCGUAGCCGACCUGAGAGGGACAUCGGCCACACUGGAACGGAGACACGGUCCAGACUCCUACGGGAGGCAGCAGUAGGGAAUCUUCCGCAAUGGGCGAAAGCCUGACGGAGCAACGCCGCGUGAGUGAUGAAGGUCUUCGGAUCGUAAAACUCUGUUAUUAGGGAAGAACAAAUGUGUAAGUAACUAUGCACGUCUUGACGGUACCUAAUCAGAAAGCCACGGCUAACUACGUG